Molecule: ribosomal RNA, 233 nt
Filed under: uncultured bacterium
Lineage: Bacteria
Description: partial 16S ribosomal RNA
Rfam family: Bacterial small subunit ribosomal RNA
Source: RNAcentral
CGGGACGGGUGAGUAAUGUCUGGGGAAACUGCCUGAUGGAGGGGGAUAACUACUGGAAACGGUAGCUAAUACCGCAUAACGCCGCAGACCAAAGAGGGGGACCUUAGGGCCUCUUGCCAUCGGAUGUGCCCAGAUGGGAUUAGCUAGUAGGUGGGGUAACGGCUCACCUAGGCGACGAUCCCUAGCUGGUCUGAGAGGAUGACCAGCCACACUGGAACUGAGACACGGUCCAG